AACGAACGCUGGCGGCAUGCCUAACACAUGCAAGUCGAACGGGAUCCUAGCUUGCUAGGUGAGAGUGGCGGACGGGUGAGUAACACGUGGGAAUCUGCCUUUUGGUUCGGGAUAACCGCGGGAAACUGCGGCUAAUACCGAAUGCCCUCGAGAGAGGAAAGAUUUAUCGCCAGAAGAGGAGCCCGCGUCCGAUUAGGUAGUUGGUGGGGUAAAGGCCUACCAAGCCGACGAUCGGUAGCUGGUCUGAGAGGAUGAUCAGCCACACUGGGACUGAGAUACGGCCCAGACUCCUACGGGAGGCAGCAGUGGGAAUCUUAGACAAUGGGCGCAAGCCUGAUCUAGCCAUGCCGCGUGAGCGAUGAGGGCCUUAGGGUUGUAAAGCUCUUUCGUGGGGGGAAGAUAAUGACGGUACCCCAAGAAGAAGCCCCCGGCUAACUCCGUGCCAGCAGCCGCGGU
Molecule: ribosomal RNA, 456 nt
Filed under: uncultured bacterium
Lineage: Bacteria
Description: bacterial SSU rRNA
Rfam family: Bacterial small subunit ribosomal RNA
Source: RNAcentral